GGCCAGUUAGCUCACUCAGUUGAGCAUGGUGCUAAUAACACCAACGUCGCGGGUUCGAUCCCCGUUCAGUCCC
Molecule: transfer RNA, 73 nt
Filed under: Apaloderma vittatum (bar-tailed trogon)
Lineage: Eukaryota; Metazoa; Chordata; Aves; Trogoniformes; Trogonidae
Rfam family: tRNA
About the family: Transfer RNA (tRNA) molecules are approximately 80 nucleotides in length. Their secondary structure includes four short double-helical elements and three loops (D, anti-codon, and T loops).
Source: Rfam by way of RNAcentral